This is a non-coding RNA of Phascolarctos cinereus (koala), 604 nucleotides long. The record is from the annotation of a RefSeq genome assembly. NCBI's taxonomy places the organism in Eukaryota, Metazoa, Chordata, Mammalia, Diprotodontia, Phascolarctidae.
GCUUCCAGACAUAGAACUGAGAAGCCAGAGUCUCUCAGCUGCUGAUUCGGGGUGUGUCUGAUUGAGCCCACUGGCUCCCGAAAAGAAGACACGUUUGUGUCCGAGUGUCCUUAGCAGCUGGGAAAGAAUCAUGAAGAGGAAGUUGGGAACUUCCCUGAUGAUCCUAUGGAUACAGUGUUUCUGGGCAUGGGGGCAGAUAAAGGUGGAUCAGAGUCCUCAAGUCCUGAACCUCCAGGAGGGAGUCAACGCCAGUCUGGAAUGUAAUUGGUCAAGUUCGGUGAAUACUUUGCAGUGGUUCAAACAGAAUCCUGGGGAAGGCCCUGUCUCCCUAUUUGUCAUUGCUUCAGGCGUGAAGCAGAUAGGAAGAUUCAACUCCAAGAUGAACUUGAAGGAUCGUCACAACUCACUGCACAUCACUGACUCCCAGAGGGGAGACUCAGCCACCUACUUCUGUGCGGUGCAGGCACAGUGCUCCCCAGCCACCUGCAGGCUGUGCACAAACCGGGAGGCUCAGGCUCCAAUCACGCUCCCUGCCAGGGGACACAUAAUUCAGUUCAAUCCAACAAACUGAGCACCAACUAUGUGGGAGGUUGUGUGACACCAA